RNAcentral lists this ribosomal RNA (429 nucleotides) under Gemmatimonadota bacterium. RNAcentral's name for it is "Gemmatimonadetes bacterium partial 16S ribosomal RNA". It matches the Rfam family "Bacterial small subunit ribosomal RNA", at positions 355 to 776 of the family's 1533-position model. The record is from RNAcentral. Lineage: Bacteria; Pseudomonadati; Gemmatimonadota.
UAGGGAAUCUUUGGCACUGGACGAAAGUCUGACCGAGCAACGCCGCGUGAGUGAAGAAGGUUUUCGGAUCGUAAAACUCUGUUGUUAGAGAAGAACAAGGACGUUAGUAAUUGAACGUCCCCUGACGGUAUCUAACCAGAAAGCCACGGCUAACUACGUGCCAGCAGCCGCGGUAAUACGUAGGUGGCAAGCGUUGUCCGGAUUUAUUGGGCGUAAAGCGAGCGCAGUCGGUUUCUUAAGUCUGAUGUGAAAGCCCCCGGCUCAAGCGGGGGGGGUCAUUGGAAACUGGGAGACUUGAGUGCAGAAGAGGAGAGUGAAAUUCCAUGUGUAGGGGUGAAAUGGGUAGAUAGAUGGAGGAACACGAGUGGCGAAGGCGGCUCUCUGGUCUGUAAAUGACGCUGAGGAUCGAAAGCGUGGGGAGCAAACAGG